CCCAGUGUAGGAGUGAUAUCCGUAGAUAUUGGUAGGUACACCAGUGGCGAAAGCGGCUAUCUGGACCGUUACUGACGCUGAUAUGCGAAAGCGUUGGGUAGCAAACAGGAUUAGAUACCCUGGUAGUCCACGCCGUAAACGAUGAGUGCUAAUUGUUGGGAACGUAUAGUUUUCAGUGAUAAAGUUAACGCGCUAAGCACUCCGCCUGGGGAGUACGGCCGCAAGGUUAAUACUUAAAGGAAUUGACGGGGACCCGCACAAGCGGUGGAGCAUGUUGUUUAAUUCGAUGAUACGCGAAGAACCUUACCUACUCUUGACUUCCUGGUCGCGAUUUUGAGAAAUCAUUAUCUUCAGUUUGGCUGGACCAGUGACAGAUGGUGCAUGGUUGUCGUCAGCUCGUGUCGUGAGAUGUUGGGUUAAGUCCCGCAACGAGCGCAACCCUCGCUGUUAGUUGCCAACAGGUAAUGCUGGGAACUCUAACAGAACUGCCGGUGAUAAGCCGGAGGAAGGUGAGGAUGAUGUCAAAUCAGCAUGUCUCUUACGAGUAGGGCUACAAACGUGCUACAAUGGCAACUACAAUGAGCAGCCACUUCGCAAGGAGGAGCUAAUCUUUUAAAAGUUGCCUCAGUUCAGAUUGUCCUCUGCAAUUCGAGGGCAUGAAGUUGGAAUCGCUAGUAAUCGUAGAUCAGCAUGCUACGGUGAAUACGUUCUCGGGUCUUGUACACACCGCCCGUCAUCUCAUGGAAGCUGGUUCUACCUGAAGACCGGUGGGCUAAUCUGGCAGCCGUCCACGGUAGGAUUACUGCCUAGGAGCAAGUCG
This 820-nucleotide ribosomal RNA is filed under the name uncultured organism. Its description in RNAcentral is "bacterial SSU rRNA". It matches the Rfam family "Bacterial small subunit ribosomal RNA", at positions 669 to 1488 of the family's 1533-position model. The record is from RNAcentral.